CUGCCCAAGGUUUAUAGAGAUGCAUGUGGGUCUGCCUGCCCAGGGUUUAUAGAGAUUCAUGUGGGUCUGCCUGCCCAGGGUUUAUAGAGAUGCAUGUGGGUCUGCCUGCCCAGGGUUUAUAGAGAUGCAUGUGGGUCUGCCUGCCCAGGGUUUAUAGAGAUUCAUGUGGGUCAACCUGCCCAGGGUUUAUAGAGAUGCAUGUGGGUCUGCCUGCCCAGGGUUUAUAGAGAUUCAUGUGGGUCUGCCUGCCCCAGGGUUUAUAUAGAUGCAUGUGGGUCUGCCCCAGGGUUUAUAGAGAUUCAUGUGGGUCUGCCUGCCCCAGGGUUUAUAUAGAUGCAUGUGGGUCUGCCCCAGGGUUUAUAGAGAUUCAUGUGAGUCUGCCUGCCCCAGGGUUUAUAGAAAUUCAUGUGGGUCAGCCUGCCGAGGGUUUAUAGAAAUGCAUGUGGGUCUGCCUGCCCAGGGUUUAUAGAGAUUCAUGUGGGUCUACCUGCCCCAGGGUUUAUAUAGAUGCAUGUGGGUCUGCCCCAGGGUUUAUAGAGAUUCAUGUGGGUCUGCCUGCCCCAAGGUUUAUAGAGAUGCAUGUGGGUCUGCCUGCCCAGGGUUUAUAGAGAUUCAUGUGGGUCUGCCUGCCCAGGGUUUAUAGAGAUGCAUGUGGGUCUGCCUGCCCAGGGUUUAUAGAGAUGCAUGUGGGUCUGCCUGCCCAGGGGUUAUAGAGAUUCACGUGGGUCUGCCUGCCCCAGGGUUUAUAGAGAUGCAUGUGGGUCUGCCUGCCCAGGGUUUAUAGAGAUUCAUGUGGGUCUGCCUGCCCAGGGUUUAUAGAGAUGCAUGUGGGUCUGCCUGCCCAGGUUUAUAGAGAUGCAUGUGGGUCUGCCUGCCCAGGGUUUAUAGAGAUGCAUGUGGGUCUGCCUGCCCAGGGGUUAUAGAGAUUCACGUGGGUCUGCCUGCCCCAGGGUUUAUAGAGAUGCAUGUGGGUCUGCCUGCCCAGGGUUUAUAGAGAUGCAUGUGGGUCUGCCUGCCCAGGGUUUAUAGAGAUGCAUGUGGGUCUGCCUGCCCAGGGUUUAUAGAGAUGCAUGUGGGUCUGCCUGCCCAGGGUUUAUAGAGAUGCAUGUGGGUCUGCCUGCCCAGGGGUUAUAGAGAUUCACGUGGGUCUGCCUGCCCAGGGUUUAUAGAGAUUCAUGUGGGUCUGCCUUCCCCCGGGUUUAUAGAGAUUCAUGUGGGUCUGCCUGCCCCAGGGUUUAUAGAGAUUCAUGUGGGUCUGCCUGCCCCGGGUUUAUAGAGAUUCAUGUGGGUCUGCCUUCCCCCGGGUUUAUAGAGAUUCAUGUGGGUCUGCCUUCCCCCGGGUUUAUAGAGAUUCAUGUGGGUCUGCCUUCCCCCGGGUUUAUAGAGAUUCAUGUGGGUCUGCCUGCCCAGGGUUUGUAGAGAUGCAUGUGGGUCUGCCUGCCCAGGGGUUUAUAGAGAUUCAUGUGGGUCUGCCUUCCCCCGGGUUUAUAGAGAUUCAUGUGGGUCUGCCUGCCCAGGGUUUGUAGAGAUGCAUGUGGGUCUGCCUGCCCAGGGGUUUAUAGAGAUUCAUGUGGGUCUGCCUUCCCCCGGGUUUAUAGAGAUUCAUGUGGGUCUGCCUGCCCCAGGGUUUGUAGAGAUUCAUGUGGGUCUGCCUGCCCGGGUUUAUAGAGAUUCAUGUGGGUCUGCCUGCCCAGGGUUUGUAGAGAUUCAUGUGGGUCUGCCUGCCCAGGGUUUGUAGAGAUUCAUGUGGGUCUGCCUGCCCAGGGUUUGUAGAGAUUCCAAAAUCUCAUUGGAGGAAGAUGACAGGUUAAGCCCCCUGGGAAGAGGGUGUGAGAGGGAGCUGGGCCCCAGAAGGUGCUGGAAGAUGAGCUUAGCAUCAAUACAGUGCAGCAACCCCCUGGCCUCUACAUGGGGAGAUGACCAGAGAGAGCACUGCCAGUCACAGACACCGGCAGAGAGACAGACAGAGAGAAAGACACUUGAGAACUACUGUGACAUCUUAAGUUCUCUGUGAAAUGAAGGUUUUGCACGUCAUCGACCUGUCAACAACAAACAAACGUUAAAUCAGAUUUGCAAUAAAUGUAUGGUAUAGAAAUGUCAAAUUUAUGACUGAGCCUAAAUAUGAAACACAUAAACACUUCACUUUGAUGACUGUCUACAAUAAAAUAUGUUAUUUAUCUGGAGCGAUUCUGAGGAUGAUGUCAGUAGCAUGAGCUUGCACAUGGUCGGCCAGAGUUCUCUCAUUUUACACCAUGUGUGGGGAGUGCUAGCGUCCGACACAGCUGGGGUUAAGAGUUGAUAUUAAUGGCAUUGCGUUGGUCUCAAUGGCUUUCAUGUGCUUCAUGACGGCUAGUGUUCAAAGAAGAGGAAGCAUGUGGUUAAUGUCCCAAGAUCACUUUCAUUCCCAUGCUUUUGUUUCCCUCCUAAGAAAAUGUAUGUUUUAUUCAUAGAAUGUCCACCUGGGAGGGAGUCAUUCAGAACAUUGGAACAGCUCUCCAUAGACUGCUGUGAGAAGAAAACCCAAGCUCAGCGUAUAUUUUAAUGAAUCAUAAUGUUCACGGGGUGAAUUGAUAUAAAGUUCAACCCUGACCAUUGAUCACUAUGUGUUGCUUUCUCAGAAUGUCUGUCAGGAUUUGUGACAACUGAUCAGGCUCCAGACUCGCCAUUUUACAUUCAACCCCACGCUGUGACAUCAUCCCAGGCUGAUGUCACAUCCCAGGCUGAUGUCCUGUCGCUGAGGGACAGAAACCAUGUCCAGCUCAUUACACGUCAAGAAUGUUUUUUUUCAAUCAGUGCUAUACAAUAUUUCAAAUCAGUCCAUUUCAUCCACUCUCUUCAACUAUGU
Long non-coding RNA from Oncorhynchus keta (chum salmon), 2845 nucleotides. RefSeq lists it as uncharacterized. The record is from RefSeq and is a predicted model, not a curated record. The transcript is spliced from 3 exons. NCBI's taxonomy places the organism in Eukaryota, Metazoa, Chordata, Actinopteri, Salmoniformes, Salmonidae.